This 100-nucleotide transfer RNA is filed under the name Burkholderia cepacia. Its description in RNAcentral is "tRNA-???(tggc)". Lineage: Bacteria; Pseudomonadati; Pseudomonadota; Betaproteobacteria; Burkholderiales; Burkholderiaceae. The record is from RNAcentral.
UGUCGCGCCGGAGCGCGGACUUGCGGUUCUGCCGCGUGUGGCUGCGCGCGACGGCGGUACUCGGGACCGUCGGCGUCGCGUUCCAUGCGCGCGGCGUCGC